Molecule: small nuclear RNA, 180 nt
Organism: Rattus norvegicus (Norway rat)
Lineage: Eukaryota; Metazoa; Chordata; Mammalia; Rodentia; Muridae
Product: U1 spliceosomal RNA
Source: Ensembl
AUACUUACCUGGCAGAGUUGAUACCAUCAUCACCAAGGUAGUUUUCCAAGGACAAGCCUUCAUCCUUGUAGCCUUUUAGCCUAGAUGUGUUAACCCUUAUGAUUUCCCCAAAGGUGCCAAAUGUGGGAAACUGACUGUGUAAUUCGUGUUAGUGAAGAACUAAAUUCACAUUUUCCUCUA